This 264-nucleotide long non-coding RNA is filed under the name Olea europaea (common olive). Its description in RNAcentral is "long non-coding RNA (OEUR_LNC000853)". The record is from RNAcentral. Lineage: Eukaryota; Viridiplantae; Streptophyta; Magnoliopsida; Lamiales; Oleaceae.
GUGCAUCUGAUGUUCAUAAAAAUUUUACAAUCGUUGUUCAAAGUUUCUUUGCACAUCAAUGGCAUGUUUGGUAGUGAGAAUUGGAUAGCAUUAAACAAUAUCAAGGAAUCAAAUGAGGCUAAAUCUUGUUGCUUAUACUGUUAAGCUCUUUCAAGUAUUGUACACCAAACAUCCACUUAAUGUCUUAUUGGUGUCACGAAAAUCUCUUGAGAAAUUUUGAUUAUAGGCUUAGAAAACAACCAAAUGAACAAAGUUUACCUCUGC